CAUCUGUAUCAAACAUCGCGGAAGAAAGCCAGAACUGAUUAGAGACAGAGUCGACUUAAAGCAUCUCAGAACUGAAGGCUAGAGAGAAGUGUGAGUCGAGAACGAGUUUCAGAAGCGUCAUAUUUCUUCCCCGCGUUGAGGCCAGACAGAGAUCGAAGGAAAAUUUUGUUCGGACAGGAAGCAGUUCUAUUCGUAUAUGCUGAUGCCAUCAAGAUCUAAAAGCUAACAAAUCCUGACAUGCCGGUUUCACCUCUGUCAUCAUGUUACACGCACAUCGCGUGAUCCGAGGAGGAAAUUACUAGUUCUACCCAUGUAUCUUAUAAAUAUAUCAUUAUUCGUCAUUGUAAGUUGUAACACAAGUAUUGAGAUAUACAAUAUAUUGCCACAGGUAAUCCAUCGAUCUAAAAUAAAUUUAAUAAAUGCAGUCGUCUUGUCACACACACAAGGGUGAAGGAGUAUAUAAAUGUAUGUAUACUGUUAAUUGGUCAAUUAUCGGGUCCAAGAUGGGGUCGACUUACACCCAUUUAAGAUUAUAUACUAAGA
RNAcentral lists this long non-coding RNA (543 nucleotides) under Salvia miltiorrhiza (redroot sage). Its description in RNAcentral is "long non-coding RNA (SMIL_LNC001734)". Lineage: Eukaryota; Viridiplantae; Streptophyta; Magnoliopsida; Lamiales; Lamiaceae. The record is from RNAcentral.